CUUUAAUGAACCCUUCGGGGAGAAUUAAAGCGGAUUAGUGGCGAACGGGUGAGUAACGCGUGAGUAACCUGCCUUACACAAGGGGAUAGCCUUUGGAAACGAAGAAUAAUACCCUAUAAAACCAUAAAAGCACAUGCAAUUAUGGUCAAAGUAUUAGCGGUGUAAGAUGGACUUGCGUCUGAUUAGCUAGUUGGUGAGAUAAAAGCCCACCAAGGCAACGAUCAGUAGCCGGCUUGAGAGAGUGUACGGCCACAUUGGGACUGAGACACGGCCCAGACUCCUACGGGAGGCAGCAGUGGGGAAUUUUGCACAAUGGGGGAAACCCUGAUGCAGCGACGCCGCGUGAUUUAGAAGGCCUUCGGGUUGUAAAAAUCUUUUGUAUAGGAAGAAAAUGACAGUACUAUACGAAUAAGGUCCGGCUAAUUACGUGCCAGCAGCCGCGGUAAUACGUAAGGACCGAGCGUUGUCCGGAAUCAUUGGGCGUAAAGGGUACGUAGGCGGCUAGAAAAGUUAGAAGUCAAAGGCUAUAGCUCAACUAUAGUAAGCUUCUAAAACUAUUUAGCUUGAGAGAUGGAAGGGAAAGUGGAAUUCCUAGUGUAGCGGUGGAAUGCGCAGAUAUUAGGAGGAAUACCGGUGGCGAAGGCGACUUUCUGGCCAUUUUCUGACGCUGAGGUACGAAAGCGUGGGUAGCAAACAGGAUUAGAUACCCUGGUAGUCCACGCCGUAAACGAUGAGUGUUAGGUGUCUGGAGUCAAAUCUGGGUGCCGCAGCAAACGCAUUAAACACUCCGCCUGGGGAGUACGCACGCAAGUGUGAAACUCAAAGGAAUUGACGGGGACCCGCACAAGCAGCGGAGCAUGUGGUUUAAUUCGACGCAACGCGAAGAACCUUACCAAGUCUUGACAUAUUUUAGAAGCAAUUAGAGAUAGUUGCCUAUAUCUUCGGAUAACUAAAAUACAGGUGGUGCAUGGUUGUCGUCAGCUCGUGUCGUGAGAUGUUGGGUUAAGUCCCAUAACGAGCGCAACCCCUAUUGCUAGUUACCAUCAUUAAGUUGGGGACUCUAGUAAUACUGCCGGUGACAAA
Molecule: ribosomal RNA, 1083 nt
Filed under: uncultured bacterium
Lineage: Bacteria
Description: bacterial SSU rRNA
Rfam family: Bacterial small subunit ribosomal RNA
Source: RNAcentral